AUUGAACGCUGGCGGCAGGCCUAACACAUGCAAGUCGAACGAGUGGCGGACGGGUGAGUAAUGUAUGGGAACCUGCCUGACGGAGGGGGAUAACUACUGGAAACGUUAGCUAAUACCGCAUACCAUCGGAUGUGCCCAGAUUGGAUUAGCUAGUAGGGGGGGAAAAGGCUCACCUAGGCGACGAUCCCUAGCGGGCCUGAGAGGAUGACCAGCCACACGUGAACUGAGACACGGUCCAGACUCCUACGUGAGGCAGCAGUGGGGAAUAUUGCACAAUGGGCGCAAGCCUGAUGCAGCCAUGCCGCGUGUAUGAAGAAGGCCUUCGGGUUGUAAAGUACUUUCAGCGGGGAGGCGUUACCCGCAGAAGAAGCACCGGCUAACUCCGUGCCAGCAGCCGCGGUAAUAC
This 406-nucleotide ribosomal RNA is filed under the name uncultured bacterium. RNAcentral describes it as "partial 16S ribosomal RNA". It matches the Rfam family "Bacterial small subunit ribosomal RNA", at positions 30 to 526 of the family's 1533-position model. The record is from RNAcentral.